This 1506-nucleotide ribosomal RNA is filed under the name metagenome. Its description in RNAcentral is "bacterial SSU rRNA". It matches the Rfam family "Bacterial small subunit ribosomal RNA". The record is from RNAcentral.
AGAGUUUGAUCCUGGCUCAGGACGAACGCUGGCGGCGUGCCUAAUACAUGCAAGUAGAACGCUGAAGAGAGGAGCUUGCUCUUCUUGGAUGAGUUGCGAACGGGUGAGUAACGCGUAGGUAACCUGCCUUGUAGCGGGGGAUAACUAUUGGAAACGAUAGCUAAUACCGCAUAACAAUGGAUGACACAUGUCAUUUAUUUGAAAGGGGCAAUUGUUCCACUACAAGAUGGACCUGCGUUGUAUUAGCUAGUAGGUGAGGUAAUGGCUCACCUAGGCGACGAUACAUAGCCGACCUGAGAGGGUGAUCGGCCACACUGGGACUGAGACACGGCCCAGACUCCUACGGGAGGCAGCAGUAGGGAAUCUUCGGCAAUGGGGGCAACCCUGACCGAGCAACGCCGCGUGAGUGAAGAAGGUUUUCGGAUCGUAAAGCUCUGUUGUAAGUCAAGAACGGGUGUGAGAGUGGAAAGUUCACACUGUGACGGUAGCUUACCAGAAAGGGACGGCUAACUACGUGCCAGCAGCCGCGGUAAUACGUAGGUCCCGAGCGUUGUCCGGAUUUAUUGGGCGUAAAGCGAGCGCAGGCGGUUUGAUAAGUCUGAAGUUAAAGGCUGUGGCUCAACCAUAGUUCGCUUUGGAAACUGUCAAACUUGAGUGCAGAAGGGGAGAGUGGAAUUCCAUGUGUAGCGGUGAAAUGCGUAGAUAUAUGGAGGAACACCGGUGGCGAAAGCGGCUCUCUGGUCUGUAACUGACGCUGAGGCUCGAAAGCGUGGGGAGCGAACAGGAUUAGAUACCCUGGUAGUCCACGCCGUAAACGAUGAGUGCUAGGUGUUGGAUCCUUUCCGGGAUUCAGUGCCGCAGCUAACGCAUUAAGCACUCCGCCUGGGGAGUACGACCGCAAGGUUGAAACUCAAAGGAAUUGACGGGGGCCCGCACAAGCGGUGGAGCAUGUGGUUUAAUUCGAAGCAACGCGAGGAACCUUACCAGGUCUUGACAUCCCGAUGCUAUUUCUAGAGAUAGGAAGUUACUUCGGUACAUCGGUGACAGGUGGUGCAUGGUUGUCGUCAGCUCGUGUCGUGAGAUGUUGGGUUAAGUCCCGCAACGAGCGCAACCCCUAUUGUUAGUUGCCAUCAUUCAGUUGGGCACUCUAGCGAGACUGCCGGUAAUAAACCGGAGGAAGGUGGGGAUGACGUCAAAUCAUCAUGCCCCUUAUGACCUGGGCUACACACGUGCUACAAUGGUUGGUACAACGAGUUGCGAGUCGGUGACGGCGAGCUAAUCUCUUAAAGCCAAUCUCAGUUCGGAUUGUAGGCUGCAACUCGCCUACAUGAAGUCGGAAUCGCUAGUAAUCGCGGAUCAGCACGCCGCGGUGAAUACGUUCCCGGGCCUUGUACACACCGCCCGUCACACCACGAGAGUUUGUAACACCCGAAGUCGGUGAGGUAACCUUUUGGAGCCAGCCGCCUAAGGUGGGACAGAUGAUUGGGGUGAAGUCGUAACAAGGUA